Long non-coding RNA from Ctenopharyngodon idella (grass carp), 3837 nucleotides. RefSeq lists it as uncharacterized. NCBI's taxonomy places the organism in Eukaryota, Metazoa, Chordata, Actinopteri, Cypriniformes, Xenocyprididae. The record is from RefSeq and is a predicted model, not a curated record. The transcript is spliced from 4 exons.
AAAUGAUGUCACUGAACAAUUUUCUGCAAAAAUUUUGGCAAAAUAAUCUAAAGAAUUGUAGAGGAAACGUUAUGAACCAUAAAUCACCUCACAUAACCAAAUGAACAAUGCUCAUUUUCAAUGCUCGUUUUCCCUUUGUUCUUCACUUUUCUGUGCGUUUGACUUCAUGGCAUUGUUUUGACAUGUGGGUGGAGUCGAGAAACUGGGGCGUGUUCAGCGGGCCUGAGCUAAUGUAUUAAAGUUUUAUUAAUGUUACUGUGGUAUGAACAGGGCGGGGCGAGAGCCGCGGGAGAGGAACGAGGCCGCUGAAGUGAAUGCUAAUGAGAGACACCUGCGAGAAACACUGGCCUCGAGUCUGGAGCUUUUAUUAUGCUUAUGCUGCAGUCUUCUGCUCUUUUCGUUGUGUAUGUGGGGUAACGCAGCGCUGUUUUACAUGGUUAAAACAAUCAUACUAAAUACAUCUGAGUGUGUUGAAAGUGACUCUGAGAGACUUGUUGCACUUUGCAGUAAUCUAGAUCGAUAUUAGAAUAUCAUAUUAAUAAAAACUGGAUGACUUGUGUUGCUAAAUGACAUAAAAUUUCAUUUUAAAAUAUAUUGUAUGAUGGAGAAAGCUCUCUCUGAUAACGUGGGUAAUGCGGAAAUGACGUCAUUGACAUGGUCUGUGUCCUGAUUAAAAUUGCUGAUUUCUCUGCAGGUUUAAAUACUGUUGGAAACGUUUGGGAUAAUGUAAGUACACAAGUCAACAAAAUAUUGUUCUUUUGGUGUUUGGAUAUUUUAAUCCAAAAAUCUUACAUAUUGUGCCUUUAAUAGAAAAACAAAUCUAAAGAAAUUUUCAAAUGCUAAAUGCUAAAACAGACACUGAAGACAAAAACUAUUUGGACACUUUCUGGAUAUUAGACAGUACUGGAUCAUGUCUACAGUUAAUACUGGCCUGUACAAAACAUCUGGACCGUCAGUUUUAUCAGUAUGUUCCUUAAGUGUUUUUUUUAUUCAGCUCUUGUUUUUCCACACAGUCAUAUGAACCUUACUAUAAACGUUUAAUUAAUUCAAAUAACCUUAAGCAUUUGUUCACAUAAUCAUAUUUAAAGAAAAAAUGUGCAUCUCUCUGAUAAAUAAGCAAAUAUCUCACAGAUUAUGUGGGGAUAAUGUAACAUUUGAAAUUCAUUUCAGCAUAAAAGGCACAUGUAAAAUUUCUUUAAAAAUGGUUUCUAAGGUAACUCCAUUUCAGGAAAUGACAUCAUCACCCUAUUUUCAUACAGCACCCUAAGUUCAUACAAAAGCAGUGUGAAACCUGAAAGACAGCUUUACACCAAGGUAGACUUUUUAUUUUUUCACCGGAUGAAUGAUGUUUUUAUACAUUUAUAUUGUCCUCCUCUUAAAGAUGCCAGCAGUUCUGGGAGUGACUGUGGAACAAGAUCCAAAGGCUUUGGUUAAGGCAGUGGGCAAAACUGUGUAUCUGCCCUGCAAAGUGAACGAUAUGAGCUCUUCAGAUUAUAUCCACUGGUACCAAAUGAAAGAUGGUAAAGCCCCGUCAAGACUGCUCUAUAUCAGUGAUGGUGGUGGUGUCACUCGUGAUAGCAACAAUCCCCAAGCAAACGACUUCACAGUGGACAAAAAAAAGCUUUAUGAUCUAAAACUGAGUGACAUUAAGAAGAGUCACGCUGCCGUUUACUUCUGUGCCUACUGGGAGUGGGACUCAAGCUACAGCCACAGUGAGAACAUUUACUCACAUCCUGUACAUGAACUACACUGGUAAAUUUCAUUCAAAACUGAUGAAUGAAAUAUUUAUAUACUUUAAUAUUUAUUUACCUGUCAUUUUCUGUUUAAGUUCUCAAUUUGAAUUAAGCUGCAUAUGCACAGGAUGACUGGAUGAAGGUAUUUGGAUCUGUUCGGAUCUGAACUUUAUUGUCCUGCUGUUCAUUAUGAGGUUAUUUGUACACACUGUAUUAUUGUGAUUUUGGAAUAUGUCAGGUGUAUCUCAUAUUUGUUAUGCUUUGUGAAGAUAUAAAUAAAAUAUUUGGCAUUUCCAGAUUUGUAGUUUUCAGUUUGAUGAAGAGUUCAAAUAUCACUUGUCCUUGUGUGGUGAAAAUAAAUUCAGUAUAUUCAGCAGUGUGCAAACUUUAUGUGCUUUACACAUGUAUUUUAAGUCAUUUCUGUAUCAUUUCUGAAGCUGACAGACAUUCCACAAAUAUACUGGAUUAAUUGAACUAUAGUCUAAUUGAACAAAUGUAUGAAUAUUGUAGGCUAUAGCCUAAUAUAAAGCAGAUCUUACCAUUUAUUUUAAAAGCACAAAAAGAGUAGCUCUUUUAGUUUAUCUCUGUGACCAAUUUAGCAAUAGCCUUUACCCUUUUUUAAACUGCAUUGUGAAUUUUACAACCAAUGUAUUCCUAAUUACAUCACAGUUUUUAAACUAAAUUUUAGCCUACUCAAAGCAUCUUGCCAACACAGACAAUCCGUGAAACAUCUUCACCUGUUCAGCAUCUGUUUAAAUCAAGCCACUAUAAACCGAGUGCCACUGAGGAAGAGCCUCUUACUGUGAGAUCUGCUCUGGAGAAGCCUUUAAUAAACCAGGGUUAAAUUACAUGUGUUUAAUGUUGUCUAACCCAUGAUUGGUUUAACUUGUGUGAAAAACCUUGUGAUAGUGAUGUGACGAGAUAAAGAGGAAACCACAAGGCCAUCAUCAUAUCUUCUGAUUGGCAGAUGCAGUUCAUAAUUCAUCAAACUCCUGGAUGACAGAUGUAGACAUGGCGAUGUCUGGAAUGAUAACAUUUGUGCUGUUAGUGGUCUUAAUAGAUUGUUUAAAUGGACAAAAUAUCCCUACGCAUCCUGACCGUGUGAUGAUUAAAGCAACGGGUAAAGCUACUAGGAUCAGAUGCAUUGUGGAUUCAUCGACGCUUCAGUCCAGCGCUCUCCACUGGUACAGAGCUCAGUCAGGGGGAGCUUUCCAACGAUUAAUGUAUUUCGAUGCUGGAUCGACAAAAGCAAUAAACGAUCAGGGUGUGUCCACUGGAUCAUAUAUUGGAUCGGUGAGAAAUUCAGCUGACAGUAACACAAAGCAAGUGUCACUGACUAUCUCAAACCCGACGACUAAAGAUACAGGAUCAUAUUACUGCGCGCUCUGGACUGACAGCAACACAGUGCUAACUGUAAGAGGAAAUCAUUACAAAAACCUGCUUUCAUAAUCAAAGCGGUUUAUGUGGAACAACAGUAGCAGCAAGGGGGAGACAUGCGGAAUAUUUUAAUUGUUAUGUUGCUUUUUGUUGUGAAUAUUUCAUUAAAAAAACAGCUUUAAAUAUUCUUGUGCAUCAGCGUCUCAGAAGAACCCUAAACACAAACUAGAUACUGUAGCCUACUAUAGAGACAACAGCCUACAAUAAAAGUGUUUCUUCAUCUGUAUGCUGUGGUCAUCUUAGCCUAUAAUAGGUUAAUCUUUAUUAAAAUGAAAAGCUUUUUUUAUAUGAAGGUAUAAAAAUUGCUUGCAAACCUUUUAUCAUGUCUUGUUUCUUAAAAUGCCUUUUAUGUGCAGAUUUUCUUUUUAUUUUACAGUUGUCACAAACCCAAAUCUUCAAUCUUAAUUUACAUUUAAAAUAACUUUUUUAAAUGAUAAUCUUGGUUAAACAAUCACAGACUAUUUAACCAUUUGUGGAAUUUAUUUUUUAAUAUCAGUUUCUUCAAAUUAAACUGUCCCACAGCUGUGACAUCACUUCCUCAUCAAACAUUUUGCCCAUAACAAAGUUAUCGGAUACAAACAAGACAAAAGUGUCAAUGAAGAGCAUGUUUGAAAAGAAAUAUGAGACAUGGUGUGUGAAGAAAAUCAAUAAAAAUGAAGAUAAAGCA